This is a long non-coding RNA of Diachasmimorpha longicaudata, 688 nucleotides long. RefSeq lists it as uncharacterized. The transcript is spliced from 4 exons. NCBI's taxonomy places the organism in Eukaryota, Metazoa, Arthropoda, Insecta, Hymenoptera, Braconidae. The record is from RefSeq and is a predicted model, not a curated record.
UUGGUAAAACCCGGAUAUCUGACGGACGCUUCGGUAUCAUUAUUUUAUUGUUUUUCCAACGUCAAGACAUUAUCACGCAAAAUUAAAAUAUUCGAUUUUUUGUUAGUCCGAUAGUUUUGCGGAAGUGAUAGCAAAAUAUGUUUAUCAGUAUAAAUAUUGAUGAGUUCUCCCGUCAUCGAGUAUUUCAUGGAUUUUUCCAACGUCAAAUGAAACUAAACUUAUACCAAAUGACAAAAUUCGUCCUUUUCGUAAUCCUGGGACUUUUCGCAGUCGUCAGCCUGGCAAAUGGUGGGGACGGUAGAACGAAAUUAUCGCGGAAAUAUGUCAAUGAAUGCGGAAAUAAACGUCUGGCAAGGACCCCAUGGGCUCUCUAUGAAUGUAUAUUGGAAACCUCCCAGAUUUUUGACAACCGACGAGGUCGAGUUAAUGAUACCCGAUUCGCAGACAUACUUUCACAUGUAAUUGACCCGAGGGUGGGCUAUCAGGUGCCUCAUAUCGUAGCGAAUUUCAAAAAAUGUGUAAAAGGGCGACAGUUUAAUUCUGCGGAUAAUUUAAUUUUGGCACUUUAUCAAUGCAAUUUUGAUCCGGCUAUUCUGUACAACUUUUGAAUAGUUCAUAUCCACCAGUUUUAUGUAUCAAGGAAACCACUUGUCUUCGUGAAAAAUAAUAAAAUAUUCUAUGAUAAAAC